RNAcentral lists this long non-coding RNA (14379 nucleotides) under Spirodela polyrhiza (greater duckweed). RNAcentral describes it as "long non-coding RNA (SPOL_LNC001093)". The record is from RNAcentral. Lineage: Eukaryota; Viridiplantae; Streptophyta; Magnoliopsida; Alismatales; Araceae.
UGGGCAUCAAGAAAGGAAUCUGUCUCGUUGAUACAAGACUACCUUUUAAGGCUCGUAAUUAAUCCGUCCCGAAUCGUGGCAAUAAUCAUUUGAGGAUUCGGAGAACGAAGAAAACGAGCAAGAUGGUGGUGGUGGUGGUGGUGGUGGUGAGAACAACGGCAGUAAAGAACCAAGUACAAUCUAAUGCAAAUUGAAAUAAUAAAAAAUACAGCCUAAGAAAAUUUACAAAAGUUCUUCUCAUGAAUAAGAGCACCUGCCAGUCUUAGUAUGAAUGCGAAUCUACGAACGAAGGCAGUGACAAUAUAACUUACAGUUGCAAGAUCAUCGGGCAGCGGUGAAAUAAUUUUAAAAGCAGUAGGGCGGUUAUCUAUCUUAAAUCUAUUUGCAUAGAAUCCUGGCGAAUGACUUGGCAGUUUCAAGCUCCUCGGUGACUGUUGAACCGAUGUCAUGCUGAGUUUUGGACUGGGUGAGACAAUUAUCUCCCUAGAACUUCCUUUCUCUGGUGCCUUUUCCCGUUCCUGGUGUCCUUUAACAAUAUUGCUAUUGAUAGGGCGAGGGGUUGAGGCUUUUGUAACUUCAGCAGCCUCUUCCGUUUUAAGUUUUUUGGCUGGUUGUUCAGUCACCACUUCACUCUUGUUAAUUGGGAAAUUCUGCAAUACCAAAACAUGUACUGUGAGAACUGAAAAUAAAGAUCUCAACUGAAAACGUUUUCUUCAAACCAGAUUGGCUCAUCUCGAAAAUUUGGCAAACGCAAGAAGAAACAUCUCUCCGUACUGAAAAAAAAGUACAGGAAUAGGGAAAUUUAUCUUGCUCAUCAAGAUAAUUACAACCAGCUCAAAAACAAAUAAAAACUAUAAAAUGCGAAAAUGAUUAGAGAAAUGGAAAUCUACUUAAGAAGGCAAAACAGUAAAAUAAGUGAUUCAUGAAUGCAUGUAGUGUUGAAACUCAUAUAUAAUAUUAUGGAUAACUUUAGAAAGCAUAACUACAAAUUGAGUGUUUAAAAAAAAAGCCGCUCAAGUUUCACAAAAUAAGCAGCAUAACCAAAGGAUAUAUCCACAGUAGAACUUUUUGUGGGAACGGACUGGUUUACUGUUGUACUAUGGGUCUGAUAUAUAAACCAGACCCAAGCCAGAUUUAAUGUACACAAAUCUACUUUCCUCCACACCCGCCCAGCUCAUUAGGGAAGAAAGAUACGCAUGAAGAAGCGACUGCUUUAUAAAGCGGAUGCGCUAAGGAUGAAUGAAGCAAAGAGAGAUCUGCUAUACGCUUGUUGCUGGGGUGGGAUCAACUGUCAUUCGUUGAACAAAGUCGUCUUCGACGCUUGGAGGCUAUGCAGAACGGACCCACGCCUAGAGUUCGCUCAGAUAAGUAAGAUCAAUCUAGGGCAGCUUUGUUCAAGAGACAACAAGAGAGGAUCUUGUAAUUCUGGGCGCUCGACCACAAAAGAAAAACGCCGGAAUCAAAGGCAGUAAAGGGUAUUGCCGCAUGAUCGCCGGCCUUGAUUGCUGAUAACCUUUGAUUAUUGGCUUUUAGCAUUGAUAAUCAGCAUUAAACGUCAACAAUCGUUUCACUGCAAAUAGCUGUCUGUUUUUAUAUAGAUAUCAGAAAUUGUACAAAUGAUUGAUACAACACAAUCAGAAGAAAGCACAAGAGGCUUGAUGCUUGAACCACAAAGCCUGAACAGCUUGGCUAUGCUGGCUUGAGGCGGUAUCAACUAAGAAAAGGUCAGGGGGGCGAAAUCUCUUAUUAAAAAAUUUGAUUCUUUUUUACUGGCUAGGUCAGGUGAGUUUCAAUCCUCUAUUGGAUUAAAUGUCUCAAGUACCACCUUUGGUGAGUCCUGGAUCAUGGAUCCAGGAGCUACUUGCAGUGACCCACUUACAUACUCUNNNNNNNNNNNNNNNNNNNNNNNNNNNNNNNNNNNNNNNNNNNNNNNNNNNNNNNNNNNNNNNNNNNNNNNNNNNNNNNNNNNNNNNNNNNNNNNNNNNNNNNNNNNNNNNNNNNNNNNNNNNNNNNNNNNNNNNNNNNNNNNNNNNNNNNNNNNNNNNNNNNNNNNNNNNNNNNNNNNNNNNNNNNNNNNNNNNNNNNNNNNNNNNNNNNNNNNNNNNNNNNNNNNNNNNNNNNNNNNNNNNNNNNNNNNNNNNNNNNNNNNNNNNNNNNNNNNNNNNNNNNNNNNNNNNNNNNNNNNNNNNNNNNNNNNNNNNNNNNNNNNNNNNNNNNNNNNNNNNNNNNNNNNNNNNNNNNNNNNNNNNNNNNNNNNNNNNNNNNNNNNNNNNNNNNNNNNNNNNNNNNNNNNNNNNNNNNNNNNNNNNNNNNNNNNNNNNNNNNNNNNNNNNNNNNNNNNNNNNNNNNNNNNNNNNNNNNNNNNNNNNNNNNNNNNNNNNNNNNNNNNUAGUCUUCUUCGGCAAACCCUAGUUCAUGGAUUCAGGACCUACUGACCGCACGACCCACUCACCAAAUGUCUUCUUCACAUACUCUCCUUAUCCAUGCAGUAGGAAAACAAUCUUCUUUGACGACUCCUGGAUCACUAUGGAUUUAGGAGCUACCGACAACAUGGCCCACUCACAAAAUGUCUUCUUCGCAUACUUUCCUUAUCCAAGCAGUAGGAAAAUAGUCCUCUUUGACGAAUCCUGGAUCAUGGAUUAAGGAGCAACCGACCACAUUUCCCACUCACCAAAUGUCUCCUUAACAUACUCUCCUUAUCCAAGCAGUACGGAAAUAGUCACGACAGAUGGUUGUUUAACCACUGUAGCUGGUGUAGAAGAUGUUAAAAUAAGCCCUUCAUUGACCUUAAAAAAUGUUCUUCAUGUGCCUAAAUGGUCCACAAACCUUGUGUUUAUCCAAAAUCUUACUCGAUAUUUACAUUGCAAAUUGGUUUUCCAUCAUAAUUAUUAUGUAUUUCAUGACAAGAAUACGGGGAGGAAGAGUAAACAUGCUAGACAACAAGAUGGACACUACUAACUUGAAGCACCAAACUAAUUGAACACAUAGGGCGAUCUACUAAUUCCAUUGAACUUCGUUCAUCCAAUAAGGAGAGAAUUUAGUUUCACCAUCGCCAACUAAGACAUUUGUCACUUACGGUUAUCAUAACUAUAUUUUCUUCUUUACUCAGAGCCUUAGAAGUCGAAGAUUUUCAUUGUGAUAUGUGCAAACUUGUUAAACACAAACAUGUACACUUUUCAGUUAGCAAUGAAAUAAGUUUUAUUUUUUUAUUUUGUAUUUAUAUCGAUAUCUGUGAUCCUCCAAUCGCUCCUAAUGUUUAUGGGAUUAAACGGCUUGGAACAUUUAUUGAAGAUUGUACUCAUGUUAUUUGGUUUUUUCUGCUCAAACAUAAAUCUGAUGUCAUUACUUUUCUCUCCAGGUUUUCUUCCAUAAUUAAUAAUUGCUGGAAAACGUUUUCCAACAAUAAUCAAUUUGGAGUCGAUGUCGAAAGAUUUAGGUCAAAUAACCCCGACUAUUUCAAUCAAAUCCUGACUUGAUACUUUCAAAUAUAAGGGUUAGUACAUGAGUCAUCAUGUGUCAAUAUGCCACAGAAAAAAAGGAAAAAUGGUCAUCUUCCUAAGGUAACCUAGGCACUUCGUUUCCUAAGGAAAAAUGUCGAAUAGGAUUAUGGAAAUAACUUAGCAAUCACCUCAUACAUGGUUUGCUAAAUUUACAAGAGUCAUGAUUGUCAUGGGGGGUAGACACAAAACUAAGACGAUCAGCCGCUCUUCAUUUAACAUUUAACCUCAAGGGGAGUCACAACACUAUUAGUAUAUGUUAAUGACAUAAAUGUGAUUAGGCAUGAUCACAAAGAGAGAGAAUCUCUGAGUCAAUGUUUGACUAAGGAUUUUGAGAUCAAAACAUUAGGAGGGCAGAAAUAUUUCCACAGAAUUGAAGUAGCCCACUCAAGACAAGACAUCUUCAUCUCCCAAUAAAAGUAUGUAACCGACCUUAUUAGAGAAACAAGUAAAACUGCAUGCAAAUCAGCGAGUGCUCCAAUAGAUCCGAAUCUUAAACUAGACAAGACAGAAGAGAACAUUGAUAUAUAUAGAGAACAAUAUCAGCACCUAACAGGAAGGCUUAUUUAGUUGUCUCAUACACAACUAGAUAUAAUAUGUGUGGUGAGUAUAAUUAGCCAAUUCGCGCACAAUCUAAAGGAACAUCUGCAAACAGUUUACCAAGUGUUAUAGUGUCUUAAAUGGACACCAGAAAUAGGUAUUUUAGUCAAGAGAAAUAGACGAUUGAUACUUGAAGGCAUAAACAGAUGCAAAAUAUGCACGAUCAACUGUUGACAGGAGAUCAACCUCUAGAUAGUGCACCUGCCUUGAUGACAAUCUCGUGAUGUGGAAAAGAAAGAGAAUGUGGUAGCAUGAUCAAGUGUAGAGGUUGAAUUCCGAGCAAUGACUCAAAGUCUGUGUAAAUUAUUUUAGUUGCAGAUCAUCUUAGAAGAAUUGAAGAUUAAGUGAGAUGACCUAAUGAGAUUUUAUUGUGACAACAAGCCUGCAAUCAAUAUUGCUAACAGUCUAGUGCAACACAAUCGAAUAAAGUACAUUAAGAUUGACAAAUACUUUAUCAGGAAAAAGCUGUAGAGUGGUCUGAUUUGCACACUUUAUGUGCCUACACAUGGUCAACUUGAGGAUGUACUUACUAAGGGCCUGAGUAGCCUAGUAUUUCAGAGUCUUGUAUCCAAGCUCGGAAUAAAGGAUGUCUAUUCACCCAACUUAAGGAAGAGUGUGGAAAUAGACUGGCUCACUAUUGUACUAUAGGCCCGGUUUAUAAGCCAGACCCGAGCCAGACAUAAUGCACACAAAUCAAUUUUCCUCCAUCGCACGCCUGCCUGGGGUUCGUUUGUUUUGGCAUUUUCACACAAACAAGUAUCCUCUAUAAUUAUCUAGUCUUAUAAAGGGACUAUUUCGUGAUGCGAAAAUCUGGAUAGACCUUCACAGGUAUCCUGAAGCUAACACGUGCAGAAAAUAUGCUGAAGAAAUUAAUAUGAAACUAUUACAGGUAUCUAUAUCCACAAAUCAGCAAACACGGAUUAGCAUCCAUGGUAAAUACGACAAGGUAGUUGCGCAUUCCGAGCUUAUGCCCAUCAGACAUUUCAUCGAAGUGGUAACAAGCUAAAAAUAACAUGAACGCAAAUGUAAAAAAUUCUACAGGUCAUUUCAUAGAAGUCUACAUAGAAUUAUUAUAAGUAUCUACAUUCAGAGGUAAGUAUAUUCAUAUUUGGCAUCCAAGGUAAAUAUGUCAAUUUUCACAGUUAUCCAGAGAUAAUACUCAACAGAGAACCACUUUCAUCAUAGUGGUGACCAGCUACAGCUCAAAUGAACGCAAAAGCAAGAAUGAAAUGAAUGAAAUUACACCGUAGUAACAUACUGAGCAGGGCCUUACUUGCUUUUGUAGUUUUUCCAACUGACGUUUGAAGUCAUCUCGCUUCUGUUUCAAAGACUCCUGCUUUUUACGAAGUUCCUCUUUCAAGGACUCCAGAUUCUCCAUUUUGCUUUGCACCGGUGGAAUCGCUUUUGGCUCACCAACUGUUGAUGCUUUUUGUAAGACUGAAGUGGGUGCAGAACCACCAACUUGGGGAACACUGAAAGCUUUUGGUGAAAUGGAUGUCUUACUUUCACCUCUAUCACGAACAAAUGACUGCAGUUGAAUAGGAGUUGCUGUGGACUGGACAGCUACAGGCGUGGUACGACCCUUAAUUUCUCCAUCAGGGAUAUUAUCCCGAUUAGCCCACCACAGUCUAAUGAACCGAUUACCCAUAACAGCAUCAGGCGACUUUAAAGCAGCCUCUGCCUCCUCCCUCUUGGAGAAUUGCACAAAAGCUUUCUCACUAUUUACUGGAAUGUAGAUAUCAAUUAUCUCCCCAAACUUCUGGAAAUGCGAAACAAGAGCUUCUCUCCUGUUGUUCUUCUGUGGAAUACCAUUGACAAACAACGUACGCUGAGCUUUCUGAGAAGCCUUUCCAAGCUUACGGCCGGUGUCUGCGUCUGUUAAUUUGGCUGUUUUAGGCACAGUUCCGCCAGAAACAGUAUGUAUACCUUGACCUGAUGUACUAAGAGAAUUAGUUACCGACUCUUCUACCUCCUUCUUCAUUCCAUUCCCAAUAUAAACUGAAGAAGUUAUAGCAUUAGCAGUUCUUUUCGUGCUUUCAAAGUUACUACCAGAUCUAACCCGUCCCCAAACAGAUGGUGCUGCGGCCUCUGAAGGAUGAUCGCCUGCAGAAAGACUACGUUGAUCAUUACUCGUGCUUGCCGAUAAAAUGUAGUUAUGAUGGUCAGAAGAACCAGCUUCCCACAGUGUUCCAACAUCUUCAGUGCUUGGAGAAGGAAGCCCAAGACAAGAACCAGAUGUCUCAGGGCGAUCACUAUUCCACAGUGGUUGAUCAGGAUCAUACACAUCUGCUUCGACACCAGGAACUGGAGCAGACAUUGCUCCAUCAACUCCUGAUCCAUUAUUGGUCGCCCCAGAUUUAGAAGUUUUACUAGGCGUAGAUUUGCUAUUUGCCAAAAAGUUUGACGCUGGUGGCAAGGGUCCAACGGUAGCUUGAGCUCCCAAUAUGCUUGUGUUUGGAAGAGACACAGGAAGAUUGAACUGAGAAAGGCUCUGGAUACCACAAACAAAAGGACUGUUAUUCAGACAAAUGCAAAAGCACAGAAUUACUUUAGUAAAACAUGUUCAUAAUUAUGUACAAGGAUUCUCUUCGACUGACAAUUAUCACAGAGAAGAGAUGUCAUUCCUGUGCCACAACAUCCCCCUUUCCAGGAUAUAGGCAACAUCAAGACCUCGGUAAUCAUUUACCAAUAUGGUAGUAUACCUGUGCGGCAAGUAUCAUGGCGCUUCUAAUGGGUUUCUCCUCUUAAAGGUAAGCUUGCCCAUGAAAAAUAUUAGACAUCAAACUCAACAGUAAUUUUACAAACCAAGGAUACUUUAAACUUUUUUUUCUGAUAAGGCUUUAGUAAGACCAAUAUAAUAACCCUUGGGUUACUCAGCUGAAAUCAUUCAAGUACAAUUAAGCUUCUAUCACAGUAUCAACAAAAUGAAUUUAACAGCAUGAUAAAUAACGAUUAGAUGCAGAAUAAGACAAUUGGUAUCAAUUUGGCCUUUGAUAAAACUUAGGUGCCAUUGUUAGAAUGAACAUCUUUAUAAUUCAUUCUGAUUUCAGAGAUUUCAUGAACAUAUUUUCAUUGAACAUCAAGCGCAAAAUGUGACCAAAGAUAUCACAGAGACAAACUUCUAAUUGAUAUUGACCAUCUUAUGCAUGAAAUCUUAAACCAAGAACUACCAAAAUCAGAAAACAAUUAUGGAAGAAUAUGUUAUCUACCUGAACAUCUUCAACAACAAUGCGAUUCAUCCCAUGUUCCAUUGGACACAUGUCCCCUCUCAAACAAAACCCACGCUCCUCAAAAUCUCGGCACCGCUGACGUGGCAUGCCAACAUUAACGGAAUUUAUUGAUGGAUGGAGUGCUCCCUGAAGAUUAAGAGGGUGAAGUGGAUCCAAACAGCCAUUAGUCAUGCCUGGAAUAAAUCCAUAUGAACCCCAUGUCGUACUUUGUGCACUUGCUGUACUUGAAAAGCCUGCUCCUAGUAAACUAGGCACUUGCGAAGCAAAACCAAGUGGAUCAAGAGGGUUAAAUCUGGCAUCGUGCUGGUUCCAAGAACUUGCACCUCUUCCUCUUCCUCCAAUGGGAGGACGGAGUAAAGUUGUGGACAAAUCAAAACGAGAGUUGUUGUUGGGACGAAAACCACGACCCAUUCUUGUCUUUUGUCCAAAAUCCAUAGGAUUAUUAAGAACGGGUGCAGGACGUCGCUUUUCAGAACUUGAAGAAGAGUCCCUCUCUGAAAAAGGAUUGUAUUCUUUGAGAAUCUCAACAGAUUGAGGCUCACGUUCCGCAAACUGCUGGCCAUUUUCAUAGGGCUUAUUCCUCCUCCUGAUUGGCUGCCUUGCAAAUUGUCCUUGAGCAUCUUCUUCUAAGGGUUGAGUGCGAUUAUCUCGUCUGCGAUGCUUAUGAUUACGAUCAUCAUCUUCAUCAUCACUGACUUCUUUUUCUUCAGAAUCACUAAUUUGUCUAGAAAUAGAAGGAUUGUCUUCUUUUGGUGACGAGCACUGUUUUACUGGGUCUACAGCAUUGGGCGGAGGGUCAGGUUUUGCUAUUUCAUCAAUCGUCCCCUCAGGUGUUAUGAUUGUGUCAUCAUCAAAAGUUUUAAACAGCUCUGAAACAAAGGACUUUGUACCUACAAAAUUUUAACAUAAGCUUUUCAGAAGGAAACCACAAUGAAUGCAGAAGUGAAAAGCAUGAAGUGAUUUGCAGCUGACUGUAAAGUAGGCAUGUAUCUUACGAGAUCACAAAAGAAUGCAGCAUAAUCGUGCCCAUAGUUUGAAGACUCAAUUUGAUGUCAAAAUUGCACUCAUCAAAAGAAGGAAACUCAAAAGCCCAAUAGUGGCCAACAAUGCAACAAAAAUGAUCGUCUUUCCCUCUCUUCCGAAUGGAAAUAGAAAAUGAAGAGGUAAGGCGUCCAACAAUCUCAAGAAAUUGUUAUCCUUAGUAUCGCGCAUCAGGGGCUCCUUGGAUUUGAAGAGAAAGUUUAUUGUCAGCCUCAAAGCAGAUAGGUUGAGGUGGAGAUGAGAGAACAGAAAUGAUUCCUCAAUCCAAUCAGCUUAUCUCGUCAUCUCUAAUGGAGUUAUGAGAGAUAUUGUGGCUCCUUGGAUUUGGAGAAUCUGCCACCGGAAGGCGCAAUGAACUUUGGAGAAUUUCGCAUGGGAGAGUCCUACUUUGAUCCCUUUGUUCUUUGGACACGAUCCAUGCUGCUUGUUGCUUGUGUGGUGAUGAUGAAGAAAAUUUUCAACAUUUAUUCCUUAAUGUUCCUUUUCACAGGGGAUACUCAACACAUUAAGUUAAAUCUUACAUGGAAGCAACCUUAGUGGACUUUUGACUGAUAAUUGGAAACGUCAUUGGAUAUGGAAGCCAACUUGCUACAUUUAGUGGUAUUUGACAUGCUAUACUUUCGGCUGUUCGUAUACAGAGGAUUGACAUAUUGAAGGGGGAAUCUAACCUGAGGGUUUGUUACAAGUUUAAUGAGCGGGUGGCGUUUCUAUGUAAGGGGUGUUCACGAUUCAGGGUUGUCAAGUCAACAAUUUUUAUGCCAUUUUCUAUCAUACGCCUUGUUAAUGUGAUACCAUACUAACGUACAUGUUUUUCCUUGCAAAAGCUCAUGCUUUUCAAGCUUUUUUAUCUCUCCAUUAAUAACCAUGUGGUACAACCCACUUUCAUGAAAAAAAAGAAAAAAUGCAUGUCUAAUAGGAUCAUGUGACUUUUAUCUUGGUGACAGAUAAGGAUUCCAUGUAUCUCACCGAGAUAAUUGGGCUAACUUAAUAAAGGAUACAAACGAGCUCACAAGAGGGGAAGCUAAGAAGAGCCUGCCGUUUCCUCUCUGUGAUGCAACAAAUAAAAAGGUAUUUUGCGUAAUAUGUUUUUAUUCUUGAUCAGGGAUUGUGUGAUGUAUGAAACUUUGUUAAACCAGCACAUCCACCUCUACUGAGCUCAAGUAGGGAGAAAUUUACCCCACUCUGAGCUGAAAACACCUUGCAGUAUGGUCCAUGCAGUACGUUCCUUGUAGACCGCACACAAAGUUUCUAAAGAUUGUUUCAUGCAGUACGUUACCCAAAAAUACCCCUUUUCUGAGUAAAAUUGCAACCCUUCUGAGUUAAAGGACAAUAUGAUGAACAGUUAUAAGACUGCAUCUGCACCUUCCAAGAUCAGACAGAAUGUGCUAUUUAGCAAAUUUCUAAUGCUUUUGGGGUAUUUCUCUUUUCAUAGAAGACUUCCAUGGAAUAAUAGUGAUUCUCCUCUACUUGGAUGCAGCUUACUUUCAUUACACUCAAGGAGUAUCAAAAUGCUCACCAUUCCAGGAGACGAAAUUAUAGUACUACAUACAGACUCACUCCACCUUCGAUGUUUGACAGAUUUAAAAUAGCUAAUAAAUCGAAAUAUAAACCAUUUUGAAGGAGAUAGUAUUAGAGAAGCUGCAUGUACCUAGGCUAUUAUUCAGAGGAAGGAGACGAAAACUCAUCUCCCCAAAAAAAAGUUCCACCAGCCAAUGCUCCAGAACCCUAAACCAACUCUUGGGUGUAAUUUUACACUCGGUAUUAUAGCAUCCAGUCACUGAUUGCCCCUUUAUAUAUAUCUUUCAAGAGUUUUUUUCAUGCCGUUUUUAAAUGGAUAUUCACUUAACAGAUUCUUCAAAUGUACUCAUAAAAACAUCGUUUAUCAAAAGUAAAUAAUCAGAUUUCUAAAUAAUCAAAUUUCAUAAUUCUUCCACUAUGCUAUCUUACGUUGCUUGUUUUCAUGUAUACUCACCGCAAUUUAUCCAAUCAUUUAAAUUGGAUAUGUUACACUUAGCAUGGUCAAGCUAUUGAAACAAAUGAGCUGAAUCAUAGAUACGAGCAAAGAAAAAUAUAUAGACCAACAUAAUUUUAAAUGAUGAAAACUUAAAUAAAAUGAUACCCCCUAACUGCCAUUUUCAAUUGCAACAGAGUUCUGAAAAAAAAGGGUACUAAUAAAAAUAAGCAAAGAAGGUUAUGAUUGCCCGAAAAUUAGGAGCCACAAUGACUUGAUACAGUAAAAAUACCCAUCUCAAAAUUCAUUCUAAAUUUUAUGAAGCGCCAUUUUAAGUUUCAAACAUAAAAGCUUCAAGCUAACAAAAAACUCUAAUGAAAUAACGACAGUCAAGCUUUAACACACCCAAAUCCAAGAGUAUUUGAUUAUGUAGAGUUCCCUUAAUUGACAAUGUCCGAAAUUAAGGAAGUUUCAAGCUACAGUGCAUUCCAUAGAUAUGAUCCACAAGUGCCUGAUCUGAACCAAGGGGAUAGCAUACCAUGCCCAAGAAAUUCCACCAAAUCAUCGAUGCACAGUUUUUGCAACUCUUGUACAGGUUUGUCCUUCUUCAACAAUGCAACAAUAUAAUCCGCUAGGAUCGCGGGAUCUGCCUCGGUGCUUGAAAAUUGUAUGAGUUGCCACGAAAGGAAAAAAUUAGGCAAAAGAAGCACAUAGAUAAGUAAAGGAGACAAGAAUUCGGGACAUUACAGAAAAAAUAUUCACACUUAAAAUAUGAUCCCACAAUAAAAAAAAGUAGUAUGUAUCUUUUUCACACCAGUUAUGAGUUGAAUUUUCAGUGAAUUUCCACAAUUUAGGCAAUUAUUUCUUCAAUAACGAGCCACAUUUAGACGUUUCUGUGUCUUCUACAUAGACAUGAUCAAUUUAUUAUGUCAUCAAUUGCUACUAUGUUGGCUGAGAAUCAGUCACACCAAAUUAAUGAAGUACCCAACAUCUCAAUCCUCUCAGAAGGCCAUAAUCACUGCACUGAGUCCGGAAAAAAGAAACAACCAGUCCAGAUACGGGUUUUCACGACUGGCAUAAGAACAGCGGGUUUUCUUCACCCAUUCGUGAAUUGGAAGCUGAAAAGGAAUCCCAAAUUCCAAAGUCGAACGAUGAACAGAUCUAAUUCGAAUCCGUUACCUAUCCUGAUCCAAUAUGACGCCUCUGUGAACAUGAAAGGCCAAUAGGGAAAGAGAUUUCCCACCUAAGAUCUCAUUAGGACUUCCACCCAGCAUUUCCCCCUUAGAUUAUCCCCUCCCACCCAAAAUUAAGUGUCAGUAUCAAGCAGAAACACGGGGUUCACCGUGCCGCGGAGAGACCAAGAUAUUAUAGUUAGGUCACGGCAGCCGACUGAAAUACGAGUGAGCAAAUACCUAGGGUUAGACCGAGAAGGUAGAGCAACUUACAGAGGCUCGAGGUUCUUCACGAGGUACCCGGUCAGGGACGACUCGUCAAAUUUCAUUUCUCCCCCUUCUUCAUCUGUGUCCUGGACGGAACGGGGUAGUCAAGGGGAAGCCCCCUCUGCGGCGAUCCGCGCCACAGCAGGAAGGACCGCACUGGUAGCGGGGGUGGGGAGGGUUCGCCCAAUCAACAAGCAAGCACGGAGCACCCCGAGAGAGCUCCUUCCCCGUUUUUCCUCUGUCACAGGGAGGAUGGAACCGGCGACCGGGGGUUGAAGGCCGGCGAUGGCUCGCGCGAUUCCUUAUUAUCUCCUCCCAGCAGCGAGGACAACCCCAACCCUGCACCGCAGCCUGCUAGAGAGAGAAGCAGUCGAGGAGGAAGAGAGAGAGAGAGAGAGAGAGAGAGAGAGGUNNNNNNNNNNNNNNNNNNNNACCGACCGACCGACCGACCGACCGACCGACCGACGACGACGACGACGACGAGAGAGAGAGAGAGAGAGAGAGAGAGAGAGAGAGAGAGAGAGAGAGAGAGAGAGAGAGGGUUGCAGAAAAUGAUUUUUCUACCCUGGCGAGGGCAAAUGAAGUCGGAACGAUAACUGGGGACGAAAGCCGAGGAAGAAGCUAUGACGUGUCAAUGAGCCCAAUUUGGGCUUGACUGGGCCCAAUGGACCAUAAACGGGCCUGUUUCUCCCGAGGGGCCGGGUCCAAACUAAAUUACUUUUAAAUACCCCUUGCGGCCCAUAAAUUAUAUGGGCUUCGCAGCGGUGUUUUGGCCCAAUUUGAAAAAAAACACUUCUUAAACUAGCUUGAGCGAGCGGUGGGACCCACUUACAUCCUUGCUGCUUUCCUAAGCAAGAAAAUAACGAUCGUAUAAUUAAAAAAAAUAAUUAAAAUAAGGGAAAAAAUAGGAAUAACGAGAAAUAUUGGUAUUAAAUUUGUUUAGCCAUUGAAAAUGUAAUGGGCCUUUUUAAUUUCUAUGUGGGUCAAACAGAGCUUUGUGAUGCAAGCCAAAAAAAAUGUGGGACCCACAGUAUUAUGAUUAUCAUUAUAAGAAUUUUCAAGGAAAGUCAACUGGGAUUGUGACAUCCUUUUUUGUCCCAUUUUUGAUAAACACCGAUGCAUGCAUGAUUCCUUAUUAAGUUUUUUUUAAAAAAAAACCUUCGCAAGAAGAUAUUUGUGCAUAAUCCAUAUUGGAUGCCAAAAGUAUAAGGUGGGGAAGAUUCAUAUUAGAACACAAGGCACAGAUGAACAAGAUUAGGUUUUCCCCACUUUUCUGGAGGAAUUGGGAGUGAGAUGGAUGGAAAUGGCAACCUGCACACUGUACAUAGACGGAUUGAAGAAACCCAGAAUUGGAACCCAAAUUAAUAAUGUUUCCACAGUUCAUAAGGCCGGGAGGGGUGAAGAGGAUGAUGAAGAUGAACAGCACAGAGCUUCCCCGAUGAUCCUGCUGAGUGGGAGGGCAAGAAGGCCUGAACAGAGAGAAUAAGAUGGAUGAAAAUGGCGACCUGUACACUGGAAAUAGAUCCAUGGAAGAAGCCCGGAGAGUGAUGAGGAGGACGGUCAACGUCCAAACCAGCCCUUCUGAGGUGGGUUCUCGCCGUCGUUCAUCAGCUUGUCCAGGACCACAUUGAGGUCAACGUUCUGCCCAUUCUCUGUCAGCCUUCUCACAGUUGCCCUGACCACAUCUCUGGGGAAGCCCAUGGUGGUGACCUUGUCGACCACAUCGUCAAUAGGGACCCUCUCUCCGGCGGCGCCGCCAGAGCCAGAGCCGGAGCCGGAGCCAGAGCCUGAAGAGACGGCUUGGGGUAGUAUCUGGGCAGUAGGGAGACGGGGAUAGCUGCCUCCACCAGAAGCAGGAGCAGAGGAGAAGAAUGGCGGUUGCUUCAUUGCAGAGUUGUAGUGAGAAGGAGACCCACCAUGUGGGUAAGACUCAGAAAGGCUAGGCCCUGCAGGAGGGCUGUACCCUGUGGGAAAUUGCUGGGCGGAGCUCGGUCUGACCGCUUGGGGGUCAAAGAUAUUGCCGCCAUGUCCGGCAAAUUGCUGGGUAGGUGGAGGCCCGGAUAGCUGAGGUGGCUGGCGGAUGCUUGGCGGAUAAGUCUGAGAUGGCGGCACCAUGUAAGGUGAGGAUUCUUCGGGGUGGUGAGGUGGCGGAGCUUGGAGCUGGGGGGGAGGGGGCAUGUUUUGGGAUGACUGCGGUGGUUGGGAAUACUGUGGAGGAUGAGGAGCUGGCUGGAACUGAGCUGGCGGGGGUAGCUGAGGUGGAUGCUGAGGUGGAAGCUGGUACUGCUGAUGUGGGGCCUCUCCCAGAGGCUGACUGGGUGGAAGGAAGUAAGGCUCCCGUUGGGGCAUGGCCGGAAGAGAAGGAAACUGGGUCUGGGGCACCUGAGGAGGUGGCGGCGGUGGUGGUGGUGGCGGCGCAGGGAGAGCAGGAAGUUGAGAUGGAACCAUCCCUUGUGGGGGCAGAGGUGGCUGCGAUGGCGGCAUAGGUGGUUGAGUGGGUACAGAUGGAGCAAUGGCAGAAUCAUCUGGCUGCCGAUGAUCACCCUUGGAAGCCUGCAGCUUUGCUAGUUGAAUCUGAGCUUCAACAAUCUCCUGCUUGUCGCGAAGAACUUGCACACCAG